Molecule: ribosomal RNA, 270 nt
Filed under: Streptomyces sp.
Lineage: Bacteria; Bacillati; Actinomycetota; Actinomycetes; Kitasatosporales; Streptomycetaceae
Description: partial 16S ribosomal RNA
Rfam family: Bacterial small subunit ribosomal RNA
Source: RNAcentral
UUGGAUGAGCUGCCGCGGCCUAUCAGCUUGUUGGUGAGGUAAUGGCUCACCAAGGCGACGACGGGUAGCCGGCCUGAGAGGGCGACCGGCCACACUGGGACUGAGACACGGCCCAGACUCCUACGGGAGGCAGCAGUGGGGAAUAUUGCACAAUGGGCGAAAGCCUGAUGCAGCGACGCCGCGUGGAGGGAUGACGGGCCUUCGGGGUUGUAAACCUUCUUUCAGCAGGGAAGGAAGCGGAAAGUGACGGACUGCAGAAGCACCCAGCCC